GGGUCUGAGGUGAUCUGGCUGGCUUGGCAAGGGUCCCCUUCCUACCUCCUGCAAGUUCCUCCUGAAACUACACAAUCCAAGGAGACAGCCUUCCCCCCUAGAAGAGGACCAUGCUUCUGUCAAGGGUGUAAAAGUACCUGUGCUCCCCAGCAGGACCUUCAAGCUAGUUCUCAAGACAAAGCUUUAAGCCACACUGCCAUCCUUGGGUGU
Molecule: small RNA, 210 nt
Filed under: Peromyscus maniculatus bairdii (prairie deer mouse)
Lineage: Eukaryota; Metazoa; Chordata; Mammalia; Rodentia; Cricetidae
Description: 7SK RNA (ENSPEMG00000003935.2)
Rfam family: 7SK RNA
About the family: 7SK was discovered as an abundant small nuclear RNA in the mid-70s but a possible function has only recently been suggested. Two independent studies have found that 7SK RNA binds the CDK9/cyclin T complex (known as elongation factor P-TEFb). P-TEFb activates transcription by phosphorylating the C-terminal domain of RNA polymerase II.
Source: RNAcentral